CCUACGGGGGGCUGCAGUAGGGAAUCUUCCGCAAUGGACGAACGUCUGACGUAGCAACGCCGCGUGAGCGAAGAAGGUCUUCGGAUCGUAAAGCUCUGUUGUUAGGGAAGAACAAGUACGGGAGGAAAUGACCGUACCUUGACGGUACCUGACGAGGAAGCCACGGCUAACUACGUGGCAGCAGCCGGGGUAAUACGUAGGUGGCAAGCGUUGUCCGGACUUAUUGGGCGUAAAGCGCGAGCAGGCGGUCGUUUAAGUCUGAUGUGAACUCUUGCGGCUCGACCGCAAGCGGUGAUUGGAAGCUGGGUGAUUUGCGUGCAGAGGAGGAAAGCGGAAGUCCACGUGUAGCGGUGAAAUGCGUAGAGGGGUGGGGGUACACCGGUGGCGAAGGAGGCUUUCUGGUCUGAAACUGACGCUGAGGCGCGAAAGCGUGGGGAGCAAGCAGGAUUAGAUACGUCGGUAGUC
RNAcentral lists this ribosomal RNA (465 nucleotides) under uncultured bacterium. Its description in RNAcentral is "bacterial SSU rRNA". It matches the Rfam family "Bacterial small subunit ribosomal RNA", at positions 338 to 795 of the family's 1533-position model. The record is from RNAcentral.